RNAcentral lists this ribosomal RNA (245 nucleotides) under uncultured Acaulospora. RNAcentral's name for it is "partial 18S ribosomal RNA". It matches the Rfam family "Eukaryotic small subunit ribosomal RNA", at positions 569 to 819 of the family's 1831-position model. Lineage: Eukaryota; Fungi; Glomeromycota; Glomeromycetes; Diversisporales; Acaulosporaceae. The record is from RNAcentral.
AGCAGCCGCGGUAAUUCCAGCUCCAAUAGCGUAUAUUAAAGUUGUUGCAGUUAAAAAGCUCGUAGUUGAACUUCGGGGUUUACUCAUUGGUCAGGCUUAAUUGUCUGUACUGGUGAGAUGAAUCUCUACCUUCUGAGGAACUUUUAUGCCAUUUAUUUGGUGUGAUGGGAAAUCAGGACUGUUACUUUGAAAAAUUAGAGUGUUUAAAGCAGGCUAACGUCUGAAUACAUUAGCAUGGAAUAAUG